Molecule: long non-coding RNA, 2961 nt
Organism: Gallus gallus (chicken)
Lineage: Eukaryota; Metazoa; Chordata; Aves; Galliformes; Phasianidae
Source: Ensembl
CAAGCAUCUCGUUCAGACCCCAUUAAAAGAGAGCUCAGUUCUUACAGCAGUUUGACAAGUCUGAUAAAGAGAAAGAAAACCAAAUUACUAGGACUUGAAAUAUAAAGUAGAUGAACCAAUCUAGAGAUGCUGCAUGAAAGAAGGUGGAUUUUUUUCUGGACAAGGAAUGACUUGAGAGCAGCCCUGAGGAGAAGGAUUUGGGGGUGCUGGUUAAUGAAAGACUGAACAUGAGCUGGCUAUAUGCACUUGCAGCCCAGAAGGCCAACUGUGUGCUGGGUUACAUUAUGAAAAGAAUGAAAGAAAAGCAAGGAAGAUGAUUCUGCCCCUCUACUCUGCUCUUGUGAGACCCACCUGGAGUACUGCAUCCAAUUCUGGGGCCCUCAACACAAGACAGACAUGGAGCUGUUGGAGUGGGUCCAGAGGAGGGCCACAAAGAUGAUCAGAGGGCUGGGACACUUCCCCUACGAAGAGAGGCUGAGAAAGUUGGGACUCUUCAGCCUGCAGAAGAGAAGGUUUGGGAGACCUUACAGCGGCCCUUCCAGUAUCUGAAGGGGGCAUACAGGAAAGCUGGGGAGGGACUUCUUAUAAGGGCAAGUAGAGACAGGAUGGGGGGAAAUGUCUUUAAACUGGAAGAGGGUAGAUUUAGACUAGAUAUUAGGAAGAAGUUAUUUACGGUGAGGGUGGUGAGACACUGAAACAGGUUGACCAGCAAGGCUUUGGUUCCCCCCCUCCCUGGAAGCCUUUGAGGCCAGGCUGGAUGAGGCUUUGAGCAACCUGGUCUAGUGAAAGGUGUCCCUGCCUACAGCAGGGGCUUGGAGCUAGGUGAUCUUAAAGGUCUCUCCCAGUCCAAACCAUUCUAUGAUUCUUUGAUAGUCACUUCAGCAGUUGAAAAAGAAAUUUUUUGGUUUAAGUCCACCAUCUUUCCACCAGGCCUACUGCUAUCCAUGUCAGUAUUUUUUUCCCCACUUAUGAAUGAAUUUCUCCUUUUACAUGUAAAUAAGAGACUGACCUAUACAGAGUAGGUAAAUCAAGAAGCGUAUUAAGAUGUUCCACCUGUCCCAAAAUACUCCGGCAUGCUACACAUGAGCUGAUACUCACUUUCAACUUUAAAGUUGCUGAGACUGGAUAGUGUCCCCCAGAUAUUUUCUAAUAGGAUCCAACGUUUUGCAACAUGCCCAUCUAGAGACCUGAUCUAUCAGGAAAUGAGAUCUGAACACCUAUGUGGCUUUUGUUCAGCACAAGACGGAGCACAAGAGUCAGGAUAUUCUCACUGCCUAAAGCCAGAAAGGAAGCAAGUCGCCUUGUACAACUCCUGGCUGUAUUUUCCAAUUUUCAUUCUUCCCUUCCAUUCAGCUGCCCCAUCAGGUUUGCAUCAGAGCUGGCACGCAUCUGAACUCCCGCCUGGCCCAGCCUUUGUCAUUAUGCCCUUCAAUGCACAAAGUUUGGUGCGUUUUCCACUCUUCAGUAGGAGGUGCAAGGGCUGGAAAAACUGGCAGUAGAGCACAUAUGCUCCUUUUAUCCCAGCACUUUCCCUUGUGACUGCAUUUACUCUCUCACACGGACUCAGGAUGUUAACUAAACUGACAAGGACUAGAUAGCAGAGAGAGGAAGGAAGGAAGGAAAGCAUCUGCAUUUCCAAUCCAGUGACUGCAAAUAAAGUUCCUCAACUUUUAGAAGUCUCUCAAGCACAGCAUACACAGGGUUUGGAGAAGCCAGGGGCUUCUGAUGAAAGUGCUGUGCUGUUAUUUUCAGUGCCACAGCCAGGCUGGGAUUACGUUUUGGUCUUCUGAGAAAAGGAAGCUGGUUGUCACGUCUACUUCUGCUCUUUUUUAAAACUCUCAAAGAAACUUUGCAACAUAAAAUCACUGAGCACCUACAAAGAAAGCUUUACAAAGGGACACCACUUACUGCCUCAAACUCAGUUUCCAUCACCUCCUGCACAAUUCAUCCAUGCUACACAAAGUCCUAAACAGCACACAUCCUAUCUUUCCCAGUGCAAACAGAUACAUUUUUUUUUUAACUGUAAAGCCAGGCUUUUUGUUUAACACAGUGAAAAAUCACACAUAGCAGGAGCCUGCUGUUAGCAUAACUUACGGUAAUGAAUCAGUUAGCAAGGAGACUGGUGAAAAGAUUGAUUCAUGACAUGAAAAGGGUAACUGGAUCCUUUCUUUUGCCUCCUUAAUUUGCCAACAUACCUGCCCUUACCAGCACCUUUUGAAGCUGUUGCCACAGCACUACUCUUCCUUCUUGGGCUUCAGCAGUGGGUUGAACACAUCAUCUCUUUGCAGACUGCUGAAGAGCUGCAUCACAAGUGAGACUGGAGGUUGGUUGGAAGUCCCUUGAAAUCCAAGCACUUGUGCUCAGGAAGAAUUCACUCCACAUUUCUUCCUUCUUGCUGAAGGCUGGAUGUGCAAAUCCAUCUUAUUUUCACUUGACUCACACUGUGAAGACACAUACUGUGAUGUGGGGUGAUAUUAGCUGUAGAAAAGAAAAAGCUUUAAGACCACUGGGCCUCAAAAUGUGUCAAAACACACCAGGCAUGAGAAUCUGCCAUUUCUCUAUGGGAGGAGGCUGAUCUCCCCACAAAGGGCCAAGCAAGCUGUGCUCCAAGGACCUGCUCUCAUCCACUCAUCCAAACCCACACAGGGGAGCACAGCCAGGAAGAGCCACAGGACCUGCCAUCUCCUGUGCUGCCACCCAGCUCUCUUCCCUCUUGGGGGCUCAGAGCCUGAGCCAAGAGCUCGCACACUUGACACGACCCAGCCCCCGGACGGAGCUGAGCUGCUGCCCAGAUGGGAGGUCAGGCUUCUACAUGCUCUUCUUUUUUGCUGCACAUACAGUGCAGCAAAAUGCUUCAGACUCAGCUGUGGGUGCAGAGGAAGAAAACUAGUAUCUCGCACUUUGAAUACUUUCUUCUUCAUAAAAAAUAAAAUAAUAAAAAAAAAAGAAUAAGAAAAAAAA